This 433-nucleotide ribosomal RNA is filed under the name uncultured bacterium. RNAcentral describes it as "partial 16S ribosomal RNA". It matches the Rfam family "Bacterial small subunit ribosomal RNA", at positions 29 to 507 of the family's 1533-position model. The record is from RNAcentral.
AACGAACGCUGGCGGCAGGCCUAACACAUGCAAGUCGAGCGCGCCCUUCGGGGUGAGCGGCGGACGGGUGAGUAACGCGUGGGAACGUGCCCUUUUCUACGGAAUAGCCUCGGGAAACUGAGAGUAAUACCGUAUACGCCCUUUGGGGGAAAGAUUUAUCGGAAAAGGAUCGGCCCGCGUUGGAUUAGGUAGUUGGUGGGGUAAUGGCCUACCAAGCCGACGAUCCAUAGCUGGUUUGAGAGGAUGAUCAGCCACACUGGGACUGAGACACGGCCCAGACUCCUACGGGAGGCAGCAGUGGGGAAUCUUAGGCAAUGGGGGCAACCCUGAUCUAGCCAUGCCGCGUGAGUGAUGAAGGCCUUAGGGUUGUAAAGCUCUUUCAGCUGGGAAGAUAAUGACGGUACCAGCAGAAGAAGCCCCGGCUAACUCCGUG